UCGAACGAGCGAGAGAGAGCUUGCUUUCUCGAGCGAGUGGCGAACGGGUGAGUAACGCGUGAGGAACCUGCCUCAAAGAGGGGGACAACAGUUGGAAACGACUGCUAAUACCGCAUAAGCCCACGACCCGGCAUUGGGUAGAGGGAAAAGGAGCAAUCCGCUUUGAGAUGGCCUCGCGUCCGAUUAGCUAGUUGGUGAGGUAACGGCCCACCAAGGCGACGAUCGGUAGCCGGACUGAGAGGUUGAACGGCCACAUUGGGACUGAGACACGGCCCAGACUCCUACGGGAGGCAGCAGUGGGGAAUAUUGCACAAUGGGGGAAACCCUGAUGCAGCGACGCCGCGUGGAGGAAGAAGGCCUUCGGAUUGUAAACUCCUGUUGUUGAGGAAGAUAAUGACGGUACUCAACAAGGAAGUGACGGCUAACUACGUGCCAGCAGCCGCGGUAAAACGUAGGUCACAAGCGUUGUCCGGAAUUACUGGGUGUAAAGGGAGCGCAGGCGGGAAGGCAAGUUGGAAGUGAAAUCCAUGGGCUCAACCCAUGAACUGCUUUCAAAACUGUUUUUCUUGAGUAGUGCAGAGGUAGGCGGAAUUCCCGGUGUAGCGGUGGAAUGCGUAGAUAUCGGGAGGAACACCAGUGGCGAAGGCGGCCUACUGGGCACCAACUGACGCUGAGGCUCGAAAGUGUGGGUAGCAAACAGGAUUAGAUACCCUGGUAGUCCACACUGUAAACGAUCAUAAAGGGUGUUGGAGGAUUGACCCCUUCAGUGCCGCAGUAACACAAUAAG
RNAcentral lists this ribosomal RNA (787 nucleotides) under uncultured bacterium. Its description in RNAcentral is "bacterial SSU rRNA". It matches the Rfam family "Bacterial small subunit ribosomal RNA", at positions 62 to 864 of the family's 1533-position model. The record is from RNAcentral.